GAUGAACGCUGGCGGCGUGCCUAACACAUGCAAGUCGAACGGAAAGGCCACAGCUUGCUGUGGUACUCGAGUGGCGAACGGGUGAGUAACACGUGGGUGAUCUGCCCUGUACUUCGGGAUAAGCUUGGGAAACUGGGUCUAAUACCGGAUAGGAAUCACAUGUGGGUGUGUGGUUGGAAAGCUUUUGCGGUAUGGGAUGAGCUCGCGGCCUAUCAGCUUGUUGGUGGGGUAAUGGCCUACCAAGGCGUCGACGGGUAGCCGGCCUGAGAGGGUGUACGGCCACAUUGGGACUGAGAUACGGCCCAGACUCCUACGGGAGGCAGCAGUGGGGAAUAUUGCACAAUGGGCGCAAGCCUGAUGCAGCGACGCCGCGUGGGGGAUGACGGCCUUCGGGUUGUAAACUCCUUUCGUCAGGGACGAAGCGAAAGUGACGGUACCUGGAUAAGAAGCACCGGCUAACUACGUG
This 466-nucleotide ribosomal RNA is filed under the name uncultured bacterium. Its description in RNAcentral is "partial 16S ribosomal RNA". It matches the Rfam family "Bacterial small subunit ribosomal RNA", at positions 28 to 507 of the family's 1533-position model. The record is from RNAcentral.